AUUGAACGCUGGCGGCAUGCCUUACACAUGCAAGUCGAACGGCAGCACGGGUGCUUGCACCUGGUGGCGAGUGGCGAACGGGUGAGUAAUACAUCGGAACAUGUCCUGUAGUGGGGGAUAGCCCGGCGAAAGCCGGAUUAAUACCGCAUACGAUCUACGGCUGAAAGCGGGGGACCUUCGGGCCUCGCGCUAUAGGGUUGGCCGAUGGCUGAUUAGCUAGUUGGUGGGGUAAAGGCCUACCAAGGCGACGAUCAGUAGCUGGUCUGAGAGGACGACCAGCCACACUGGGACUGAGACACGGCCCAGACUCCUACGGGAGGCAGCGGUGGGGAAUUUUGGACAGUGGGCGAAAGCCUGAUCCAGCAAUGCCGCGUGUGUGAAGAAGGCCUUCGGGUUGUAAAGCACUUUUGUCCGGAAAGAAAUCCUUGGCCCUAAUACGGUCGGGGGAUGACGGUACCGGAAGAAUAAGCACCGGCUAACUACGUG
Molecule: ribosomal RNA, 486 nt
Filed under: uncultured bacterium
Lineage: Bacteria
Description: partial 16S ribosomal RNA
Rfam family: Bacterial small subunit ribosomal RNA
Source: RNAcentral